Molecule: ribosomal RNA, 166 nt
Filed under: uncultured bacterium
Lineage: Bacteria
Description: partial 16S ribosomal RNA
Rfam family: Bacterial small subunit ribosomal RNA
Source: RNAcentral
GCUAGUAAUGGCAGGUCAGCAUACUGCCGUGAAUAGUUCCCGGGCCUUGUACACACCGCCCGUCACACCAUGAGAGUUGGAAAUACCCGAAGCCUGUGAGCUAACAGUAAUGAGGCAGCAGUCGAAGGUAGAGCCAAUGAUUGGGGUGAAGUCGUAACAAGGUAUC